UACGUAGGGUGCGAGCGUUAAUCGGAAUUACUGGGCGUAAAGCGUGCGCAGGCGGUUCGUUAAGUCAGAUGUGAAAGCCCCGGGCUCAACCUGGGAACUGCAUUUGAAACUGGCGGGCUUGAGUGUGGCAGAGGGGGGUGGAAUUCCGCGAGUAGCAGUGAAAGGCGUAGAGAUGCGGAGGAACACCGAUGGCGAAGGCAGCCCCCUGGGCCAACACUGACGCUCAGGCACGAAAGCGUGGGGAGCAAACAGG
RNAcentral lists this ribosomal RNA (253 nucleotides) under uncultured bacterium. Its description in RNAcentral is "partial 16S ribosomal RNA". It matches the Rfam family "Bacterial small subunit ribosomal RNA", at positions 524 to 776 of the family's 1533-position model. The record is from RNAcentral.